This 62-nucleotide microRNA precursor is filed under the name Mesocestoides corti. RNAcentral describes it as "microRNA mco-mir-133 precursor". Its record names the gene mco-mir-133. The record is from miRBase by way of RNAcentral. Lineage: Eukaryota; Metazoa; Platyhelminthes; Cestoda; Cyclophyllidea; Mesocestoididae.
GGCUGAUUUUCGGGGCUCAGAAGAGCCAAACGUUUGCUUUUGGUCCCCAUUAACCAGCCGCC